RNAcentral lists this ribosomal RNA (253 nucleotides) under uncultured bacterium. Its description in RNAcentral is "partial 16S ribosomal RNA". It matches the Rfam family "Bacterial small subunit ribosomal RNA", at positions 524 to 776 of the family's 1533-position model. The record is from RNAcentral.
UACGGGGGGGGCAAGCGUUGUCCGGAAUUACUGGGCGUAAAGGGCUCGUAGGUGGCCAACUAAGUCAGACGUGAAAUCCCUCGGCUUAACCGGGGAACUGCGUCUGAUACUGGAUGGCUUGAGUUUGGGAGAGGGAUGCGGAAUUCCAGGUGUAGCGGUGAAAUGCGUAGAUAUCUGGAGGAACACCGGUGGCGAAGGCGGCAUCCUGGACCAACACUGACACUGAGGAGCGAAAGCCAGGGGAGCAAACGGG